Molecule: ribosomal RNA, 324 nt
Filed under: uncultured eukaryote
Lineage: Eukaryota
Description: partial 18S ribosomal RNA
Rfam family: Eukaryotic small subunit ribosomal RNA
Source: RNAcentral
CCCUUAGAUGUCCUGGGCUGCACGCGCGCUACACUGAUGUGUCCAGUAAGCACCUAACCUCUUCCAAAAGGAACGGGUAACCUUUGCAAAGCACAUCGUGAUGGGGAUAGAUUAUUGCAAUUAUUAGUCUUGAACGAGGAAUUCCUAGUAAGCACAAGUCAUCAGCUUGUGUUGAUUACGUCCCUGCCCUUUGUACACACCGCCCGUCGCUCCUACCGAUUGAAUGUUCCGGUGAGCUCUUCGGACUGCGCGGUCUGCAGUUUCUGCGUUCCGUGCGGAAAGUUGCGCAAACCUUAACAUUUAGAGGAAGGAGAAGUCGUAACA